This 326-nucleotide long non-coding RNA is filed under the name Androctonus crassicauda. Lineage: Eukaryota; Metazoa; Arthropoda; Arachnida; Scorpiones; Buthidae. The record is from RNAcentral.
CAGAUGUCCACUGACAGGAUGGGACAUGGAAUUACUCUUCUCUGCUACGUUUUUCCCACCUUCUGUCCAGAGUCUGAGAGCAGACAUCUUGGAGAUGUCUGGUCUAUGUGGAGACCUUGGAGUGACUUGUGACACAUCUGGUCCAUUUGGUAGCUUUGGAAUAAUUUCCCGAUUAAUUGCUGUCUUCUUACUAACUACUUGCUUUCCCCCCUUUUCAUUUUCCCUUGUUGCUUACCAUACUUCUCCUCUUUUCACCACCUGAAUGUCACCUGGUUCUUUCCCGUCAAAACUGAUAGCUGUGUUUUAUUUUCUUUAUUAAAUCAUGG